GUCCACGCCGUAAACGGUGGGCACUAGUUGUGGGAACCUUCCACGGUUUCUGCGACGCAGCUAACGCAUUAAGUGCCCCGCCUGGGGAGUACGAUCGCAAGAUUAAAACUCAAAGGAAUUGACGGGGCCCCGCACAAGCAGCGGAGCAUGCGGCUUAAUUCGACGCAACGCGAAGAACCUUACCAAGGCUUGACAUAUACAGGAAUAUGGCAGAAAUGUCAUAGCCGCAAGGUCUGUAUACAGGUGGUGCAUGGUUGUCGU
This 261-nucleotide ribosomal RNA is filed under the name uncultured bacterium. RNAcentral's name for it is "partial 16S ribosomal RNA". It matches the Rfam family "Bacterial small subunit ribosomal RNA", at positions 793 to 1055 of the family's 1533-position model. The record is from RNAcentral.